AGGUGGUCGUCUCACACUGGGCUUGGCA
This 28-nucleotide small RNA is filed under the name Bombyx mori (domestic silkworm). Its description in RNAcentral is "ovarian small RNA-12240". The record is from RNAcentral. Lineage: Eukaryota; Metazoa; Arthropoda; Insecta; Lepidoptera; Bombycidae.